RNAcentral lists this ribosomal RNA (531 nucleotides) under uncultured bacterium. RNAcentral's name for it is "bacterial SSU rRNA". It matches the Rfam family "Bacterial small subunit ribosomal RNA", at positions 8 to 509 of the family's 1533-position model. The record is from RNAcentral.
AGAGUUUGAUCCUGGCUCAGGACGAACGCUGGCGGCAUGCCUAAUACAUGCAAGUCGAACGCUUUUGUUUCACCGGGUGCUUGCACCCACCGAAACAAAAGAGUGGCGGACGGGUGAGUAACACGUGGGUAACCUGCCCAUAAGAGGGGGAUAACAUCCGGAAACGGAUGCUAAUACCGCAUAUUUCCAAUUGUCUCCUGACAGAUGGAAAAAAGGUGGCUUCGGCUACCGCUUAUGGAUGAACCCGCGGCGUAUUAGCUAGUUGGUGAGGUAAUGGCUCACCAAGGCGAUGAUACGUAGCCGACCUGAGAGGGUGAUCGGCCACACUGGGACUGAGACACGGCCCAGACUCCUACGGGAGGCAGCAGUAGGGAAUCUUCCGCAAUGGACGAAAGUCUGACGGAGCAAUGCCGCGUGAGUGAAGAAGGUUUUCGGAUCGUAAAACUCUGUUGUUAGAGAAGAACAAGGAUGAGAGUAACUGCUCAUCCCCUGACGGUAUCUAACCAGAAACGCCACGGCUAACUACGUACG